RNAcentral lists this signal recognition particle RNA (299 nucleotides) under Aotus nancymaae (Ma's night monkey). RNAcentral's name for it is "Metazoan signal recognition particle RNA (ENSANAG00000001153.1)". It matches the Rfam family "Metazoan signal recognition particle RNA". Rfam says of the family: The signal recognition particle (SRP) is a universally conserved ribonucleoprotein. It is involved in the co-translational targeting of proteins to membranes. The eukaryotic SRP consists of a 300-nucleotide 7S RNA and six proteins: SRPs 72, 68, 54, 19, 14, and 9. The record is from RNAcentral. Lineage: Eukaryota; Metazoa; Chordata; Mammalia; Primates; Aotidae.
GCCAGGCGUGGUGGUGCGUGCCUAUAGUCCCAGCUACUUGGGAGGCUGAGGUGGGAGGAUCACUUGAGCCCAGGAGUUCUGGGCUGUAGUGCGCUAUGCCGAUCGGGUGUCCGCACUAAGGUCAGCAUCAAUAUGGUGACCUCCUGGGAGCGGGGAACCACCAGGUUGCCUAAGGAGGGGUGAACCGGCCCAGGUUGGAAACAGAGCAGGUCAAAACUCCCGUGCUGAACAGCAGUGGGAUCGCGCCUGUGAAUAGCCACUGUACUCCUGCCUGGGCAAUGUGGUGAGACCUCGUUUCU